GAUGAACGCUGGCGGCGUGCCUAAUACAUGCAAGUCGAGCGAACGGACGAGAAGCUUGCUUUUCUGAUGUUAGCGGCGGACGGGUGAGUAACACGUGGAUAACCUACCUAUAAGACUGGGAUAACUUCGGGAAACCGGAGCUAAUACCGGAUAAUAUUUUGAACCGCAUGGUUCAAAAGUGAAAGACGGUCUUGCUGUCACUUAUAGAUGGAUCCGCGCUGCAUUAGCUAGUUGGUAAGGUAACGGCUUACCAAGGCAACGAUGCAUAGCCGACCUGAGAGGGUGAUCGGCCACACUGGAACUGAGACACGGUCCAGACUCCUACGGGAGGCAGCAGUAGGGAAUCUUCCGCAAUGGGCGAAAGCCUGACAGAGCAACGCCGCGUGAGUGAUGAAGGUCUUCGGAUCGUAAAACUCUGUUAUUAGGGAAGAACAUAUGUGUAAGUAACUGUGCACAUCUUGACGGUACCUAAUCAGAAAGCCACGGCUAACUACGU
RNAcentral lists this ribosomal RNA (496 nucleotides) under uncultured bacterium. RNAcentral describes it as "partial 16S ribosomal RNA". It matches the Rfam family "Bacterial small subunit ribosomal RNA", at positions 28 to 506 of the family's 1533-position model. The record is from RNAcentral.